UGCCAGGGCCCAGCACAGCCUCACAGCGAGUCCUUGUCGCCUCUCCAUGUCCCUCAAAAUAUGAGCAAUCGUAGUACCUCAGGCGGAACCAGUUUCCUCCUGGGUGAGUCCAUUUGCAGCUGCUUCGUGCUGGACAGCUCUGAUAGACAGGGGACCAGCAGAAUUAGCCCCUGAGGCUAAAAUUCCCCACGGCUACCGGCUCCAGCCUCUGUCUCUGGCCCCUGGGGAUCUCUGGAGUGUCCUCAGCAGGGUCACCUCCAAGUUGAUCUACAAUCUGCCUUGCAGGUAUGCCAGAAGAAACCUGGAUGAACCUAAAAUUGAAGGCCAAGGGGAGAUGCUCAGGUCUCCCGUGGUGGCAGCAGAGGGGAUAAUAGAAAAAGAGGGUUUCCCAGAAGCCAGACCACACUCAUUAGGCUUCCGAUGGAGACCGAAGACCACCCACUCCACAGGGCCCCAGGAGAUGAGGGAGGAGACUCGCGGGUUCUGAGCACCUCCAGCACAGGUGCGCGUCGCAGGAGAGGUGGUUCUAGCCAGCCAGAGCACCGGGCAUGGAGGCGUCUCACUGCCGCGCAGUGUCCCAGGGGACCUCAGGCAGCUCCCUGGCCUUGGAGACCCUUGCUUCCAAAUUAGCCAG
Molecule: long non-coding RNA, 634 nt
Filed under: Homo sapiens (human)
Lineage: Eukaryota; Metazoa; Chordata; Mammalia; Primates; Hominidae
Description: non-protein coding lnc-FBXL7-7:1
Source: RNAcentral